RNAcentral lists this ribosomal RNA (235 nucleotides) under uncultured Candidatus Saccharibacteria bacterium. Its description in RNAcentral is "partial 16S ribosomal RNA". It matches the Rfam family "Bacterial small subunit ribosomal RNA", at positions 584 to 818 of the family's 1533-position model. The record is from RNAcentral. Lineage: Bacteria; Candidatus Saccharimonadota.
CAAGUUGAUAGUGAAAGCGUCCGGCUCAACCGGAUAAACAUUAUCAAAACUGCCAAGCUAGAGGACGAGAGAGGUAAUUGGAAUUCCUAAUGUAGGGGUAAAAUCCGUUGAUAUUAGGAGGAACACCGAUGGCGUAGGCAGAUUACUGGCUCGUUCCUGACACUAAGGCACGAAAGCGUGGGGAGCAAACAGGAUUAGAUACCCUGGUAGUCCACGCCGUAAACGAUGGAUGCUA